RNAcentral lists this ribosomal RNA (461 nucleotides) under Salmonella enterica subsp. arizonae serovar 40:z4,z23:-. RNAcentral describes it as "bacterial SSU rRNA". It matches the Rfam family "Bacterial small subunit ribosomal RNA", at positions 1082 to 1533 of the family's 1533-position model. The record is from RNAcentral. Lineage: Bacteria; Pseudomonadati; Pseudomonadota; Gammaproteobacteria; Enterobacterales; Enterobacteriaceae.
AAGUCCCGCAACGAGCGCAACCCUUAUCCUUUGUUGCCAGCGGUCCGGCCGGGAACUCAAAGGAGACUGCCAGUGAUAAACUGGAGGAAGGUGGGGAUGACGUCAAGUCAUCAUGGCCCUUACGACCAGGGCUACACACGUGCUACAAUGGCGCAUACAAAGAGAAGCGACCUCGCGAGAGCAAGCGGACCUCAUAAAGUGCGUCGUAGUCCGGACUGGAGUCUGCAACUCGACUCCAUGAAGUCGGAAUCGCUAGUAAUCGUGGAUCAGAAUGCCACGGUGAAUACGUUCCCGGGCCUUGUACACACCGCCCGUCACACCAUGGGAGUGGGUUGCAAAAGAAGUAGGUAGCUUAACCUUCGGGAGGGCGCUUACCACUUUGUGAUUCAUGACUGGGGUGAAGUCGUAACAAGGUAACCGUAGGGGAACCUGCGGUUGGAUCACCUCCUUACCUGAAAGAA